CGUGGCCUAGUGGUUGGGGCGCCAGGCUCGUAGCCUAGUGGUGGAAGGUUCGAGCCCUGGCUG
RNAcentral lists this transfer RNA (63 nucleotides) under Oxyrrhis marina. Lineage: Eukaryota; Dinophyceae; Oxyrrhinales; Oxyrrhinaceae. The record is from RNAcentral.